This 724-nucleotide ribosomal RNA is filed under the name uncultured bacterium. Its description in RNAcentral is "bacterial SSU rRNA". It matches the Rfam family "Bacterial small subunit ribosomal RNA", at positions 37 to 744 of the family's 1533-position model. The record is from RNAcentral.
UGGCGGCGUGCUUACACAUGCAAGUCGAGCGAAGCGCUUAAGAUAGCUUGCUAUUUUUAGUGACUGAGCGGCGAACGGGUGAGUAACACGUGGGUAAUCUGCCUGGAAGUCUGGGAUAACAGUUGGAAACGGCUGCUAAUACCGGAUGACAUUGCAGCUGUAGAGGCUGUAAUCAAAGCGUUAUGUAGCGCUUCCAGAUGAGCCCGCGUCCCAUUAGUUAGUUGGUGGGGUAAUGGCCUACCAAGACCACAAUGGGUAGCCGGUCUGAGAGGAUGUACGGCCACACUGGGACUGAGAUACGGCCCAGACUCCUACGGGAGGCAGCAGUGGGGAAUAUUGCGCAAUGGGGGAAACCCUGACGCAGCGACGCCGCGUGGACGAUGAAGGCCUUCGGGUUGUAAAGUCCUGUUCUGGGGGAAGAAACCUUAAGGGUCCAAUAAACCCUUAAGCUGACGGUACCCCAAGAGAAAGCUCCGGCUAAUUAUGUGCCAGCAGCCGCGGUAAUACAUAAGGAGCAAGCGUUAUCCGGAAUUAUUGGGCGUAAAGAGCUCGUAGGCGGUCUUGAAAGUCAGGUGUGAAAUUAUCAGGCUCACCUGAUAAGGUCAUCUGAAACUUUAAGACUUGAGGAUAGAAGAGGAAAGUGGAAUUCCCGGUGUAGCGGUGAAAUGCGUAAAUAUCGGGAGGAAUACCAGUGGCGAAGGCGGCUUUCUGGUCUAUUUCUGAC